AUUGAACGCUGGCGGAAUGCUUUACACAUGCAAGUCGAACGGCAGCACGGACUUCGGUCUGGUGGCGAGUGGCGAACGGGUGAGUACUGUAUCGGAACGUGCCAAGUCGUGGGGGAUAACGUAGUGAAAAUUACGCUAAUACCGCCUACGAUCUACGGAUGAAAGCGGGGGAUCGCAAGCACACGCGCGAUCAGAGCGCCCGAUAUCAGAUGAGGUAGUUGGUGGGGUAAAGGCCCACCAAGCCAAAGAUCUGUAGCUGGUCUGAGAGGACGACCAGCCACACUGGAACUGAGACACGGUCCAGACUCCUACGUGAGGCAGCAGUGGGGAAUUUUGUACAAUGGGCGAAAGCCUGAUCCAGCCAUUCCGCGUGCAGGAUGAAGGCCCUCGGGUUGUAAACUGCUUUUGUACAGAACGAAAAGGUUUCUACUAAUACUAGGAGCUCAUGACGGUACUGUAAGAAUAAGCACCGGCUAACUACGUGCCAGCCGCCGCGGUAA
RNAcentral lists this ribosomal RNA (500 nucleotides) under uncultured bacterium. RNAcentral's name for it is "partial 16S ribosomal RNA". It matches the Rfam family "Bacterial small subunit ribosomal RNA", at positions 30 to 523 of the family's 1533-position model. The record is from RNAcentral.